RNAcentral lists this ribosomal RNA (467 nucleotides) under uncultured bacterium. RNAcentral's name for it is "bacterial SSU rRNA". It matches the Rfam family "Bacterial small subunit ribosomal RNA", at positions 355 to 825 of the family's 1533-position model. The record is from RNAcentral.
UAAGGAAUAUUGGUCAAUGGAGGCAACUCUGAACCAGCCAUGCCGCGUGCAGGAAGAAGGCCCUAUGGGUCGUAAACUGCUUUUGAACAAGAGAAAACCCCGGUACGUGUACUGGGUUGAUAGUAUUGUUAGAAUAAGCAUCGGCUAACUUCGUGCCAGCAGCCGCGGUAAGACGAAGGAUGCAAGCGUUAUCCGGAUUCAUUGGGUUUAAAGGGUGCGUAGGCGGACUGAUAAGUCAGUGGUGAAAUCUCUCGGCUUAACCGAGAAACUGCCAUUGAUACUGUUAGUCUAGAGUACAGAUGAUGUGGGCGGAAUAUGACAUGUAGUGGUGAAAUACUUAGAUAUGUCAUAGAACACCGAUUGCGAAGGCAGCUCACAAAACUGUAACUGACGCUGAGGCACGAAAGUGCGGGGAUCAAACAGGAUUAGAUACCCAGGUAGUCCCUGAGCGGGCUGGCAAGGCGCAU